AGCGAACGCUGGCGGCAGGCUUAACACAUGCAAGUCGAGCGGGCACCUUUCGGGGUGUCAGCGGCGGACGGGUGAGUAACGCGUGGGAACGUGCCCUCUGGUUCGGAAUAACUCAGGGAAACUUGAACUAAUACCGGAUACGCCCGUUUGGGGAAAGGCUUGCUGCCGGAGGAUCGGCCCGCGUCUGGUUAGCUAGUUGGUGAGGUGACGGCUCACCAAGGCGACGAUCAGUAGCUGGGCUGGGAGGAUGGCCAGCCACCCUGGGACUGAGAAACGGCCCCGACUCCUACGGGAGGCAGCAGUGGGGGAUAUUGGACAAUGGGCGGAAGCCUGAUCCAGCCAUGCCGCGUGAGUGAUGAAGGCCUUAGGGUUGUAAAGCCCUCUUAUCCGGGACGAUAAUGACGGUACCGGAGGAAUAAGCCCCGGCUAACUUCGUG
Molecule: ribosomal RNA, 437 nt
Filed under: uncultured bacterium
Lineage: Bacteria
Description: partial 16S ribosomal RNA
Rfam family: Bacterial small subunit ribosomal RNA
Source: RNAcentral